Sapajus apella (tufted capuchin) is the source of this 1763-nucleotide RNA transcript. It is a transcript of the gene named histone-binding protein RBBP4 pseudogene, with no coding region annotated. Lineage: Eukaryota; Metazoa; Chordata; Mammalia; Primates; Cebidae. The record is from RefSeq and is a predicted model, not a curated record. The transcript has a single exon.
AUGGAAGAACAAGUGAUCAAUGAGGAGUACAAAAUAUGGAAAAAGAACACUCCUUUUCUUUGUGAUGUGGUGAUGACCCAUGCUCUGGAGUGGCCUAGCCUAACUGCCUAGUGGCUUCUAGAUGUAACCAGACCAGAAGGGAAAAGAUUUCAGCAUUCAUCGACUUGUCCUGGGGACACACACAUCAGAUGAACAAAACCAUCUUGUUAUAGUCAGUGUGCAACUCCCUAAUGAUGAUGCUCAGUUUGAUGUGUCACACUACAACAGUGAGAAAGGAGAAUUCAGAGGUUUUGGUUCAGUUAGUGGAAAACAUGAAAUAGAAAUCAAGAUCAAGCAUGAAGGGAGAAGUAAACAGGGCCCGUUAUAUGCCCCAGAACCCUUGUAUCGUCGCAACAAAGACUUCUUCCAGUGAUGUUCUUGUCUUUGACUAUACAAAACAUCCUUCUAAACCAGAUCCUUCUAGAGAAUGCAACCCAGACUUGCAUCUCCGUGGACAUCAGAAGGAAGGCUAUGGGCUUUCUUGGAACCCAAAUCUCAGUGGGCACUUACUUAGUGCUUCAGAUGACCACACCAUCUGCCUGUGGGACAUCAGUGCUGUUCCAAAGGAGGGAAAAGUGGUGGAGGCGAAGACCAUCUUUACAGGGCAUACAGCAGCAGAUGUUUCCUGGCAUCUGCUCCAUGAGUCUCUGUUUGGAUCAGUUGCUGAUGAUCAGAAACUUAUGAUUUGGAAUACUCAUUCAAACAAUACUUUCAACCACUCAGUUGAUGUUCACACUGCUAAAGUGAACUGCCUCUCUUUCAAUCCUUAUAGUGAGUUCAUUCUUGCCACAGGAUCAGCUGACAAGACUUUGCCUUGUGGGAUCUGAGAAAUCUGAAACUUACGUUGCAUUCCUUUGAAUCAUAUAAGGAUGAAAUAUUCCAGAUUCAGUAGUCACUUCACAAUGAGACUGUUUUGGCUUCCAGUGGUACUGAUUACAGACUGAAUGUCUGGGAUUUAAGUAAAACUGGAGAAGAACAAUCCCCAGAAAAUGCAGAAGACGGGCCACCAGAGUUGUUGUUUAUUCAUGGUUGUCACACUGCCAAGAUAUCUGAUUUCUCCUGGAAUCCCAGUGACCCUUGGGUGAUUUGUUCUGAAUCAGAAGACAAUAUCAUGCAAGUGUGGCAAAUGGCAGAGAACAUUUAUAAUGAUGAAGACCCUGAAGGAAGCGUGGAUCUGGAAGGGCAAGGGUCCUAGAUAUACAUGUCUUUACCUCUUGUGAUUUUAGACUCCCCUUUUUUCUUCUCAACUCUGAGACUGAUUUAACACUGGUUUUGAGACACGGACUUUGUUCAGCUAUCCCUCUGCAUAAUAGGUACCACCAAUAAUGCUAUUAACCCAAACAGUGGGUGUUUUCUAAAUGGGGGCUUGAUUUAGCAAAGCCACAGACUUACACUGAAAUUUUCUUCAGGAAUUUUAUAGUAAUAAACCCAGGUCUAAAGCAGCUACAGAAAGAGGAAUAUUAUGUGUGAUUAUUUUUCUUCUUAUGCUAUAUCCCCCAGUUAUUCAGACUCAUUUAAGUAAAGGUUAGAGUGAGUGAGGAAUAGAGCCAAAUGAGGUAGAUGUCUGAGCCAUGAAGUAUAAACAUUGAAAGAUGUCACUUUUAUUCAGGAAAUAGGGGCAAUUCAAGCUAUAUGGAUUCCUACUCAAAAAUCUUGACACCUGACUUUCCAGGAUGCACAUUUUCAUACGUAGACCAGUUUUCUCUUGGUUUCUUCAGUUAAAU